CUCAAUUUGAAAACAUUUCAACUUUCUGGACAUUUUGACCAUGAUGAUGGCUUGGAAAAAAAUUACUGUGGUGUCCAUGUUUUUCGUGCUAACAGUUUUUGAACCCUGUGAAUCAGAGAUGCUAGAUGAUUUGAUAAAACAGAAUUUACAGAAUUUGAAAAAAAUACAACUUUUACAUAAACAUCAGAUCAACUCUAAAAAUUAUACAGAUAUCUCGUAUACUGGUAAUACGUAAAGAUUUGUCGAUUUAUGAAACAACUAAAGGUGUAUACAAAGUACCGUAUAGAUGUGUUCUAACAUAUUUGUUUUGUUUUCACUACAGGUGCAUCGUCAGAGUCGUAUGUGCGAUGGGGUAGAACUAGUUGUCAUGGUGGUGCAUCACUAGUUUACGAUGGU
Molecule: long non-coding RNA, 396 nt
Filed under: Mytilus galloprovincialis (Mediterranean mussel)
Lineage: Eukaryota; Metazoa; Mollusca; Bivalvia; Mytilida; Mytilidae
Source: RNAcentral